UAGUCCACGCUGUAAACGAUGAGAACUAGCCGUUGGACCCUUUACUGGAUUUAGUGGCGCAGCUAACGCGAUAAGUUCUCCGCCUGGGGAGUACGGCCGCAAGGUUAAAACUCAAGUGAAUUGACGGGGGCCCGCACAAGCGGUGGAGCAUGUGGUUUAAUUCGAAGCAACGCGAAGAACCUUACCUGGCCUUGACAUCCGGCGAAUUUGGCAGAGAUGCCUUAGUGCCUUCGGGAACGCCGAGACAGGUGCUGCAUGGCUGUCGUCAGCUCGUGUUGUGAAAUGUUGGGUUAAGUCCCGCAACGAGCGCAACCCUUGUCCCUAGUUGCCAGCACUUCGGGUGGGAACUCUAGGGAGACUGCCGGUGACAAACCGGGAGGAAGGUGGGGACGACGUCAAGUCAUCAUGGCCCUUAUGGGGCAGGGGCUACACACGU
Molecule: ribosomal RNA, 436 nt
Filed under: uncultured bacterium
Lineage: Bacteria
Description: bacterial SSU rRNA
Rfam family: Bacterial small subunit ribosomal RNA
Source: RNAcentral